Molecule: ribosomal RNA, 253 nt
Filed under: uncultured bacterium
Lineage: Bacteria
Description: partial 16S ribosomal RNA
Rfam family: Bacterial small subunit ribosomal RNA
Source: RNAcentral
UACGUAGGGUGCGAGCGUUAAUCGGAAUUACUGGGCGUAAAGCGUGCGCAGGCGGUUUUGUAAGCCAGAUGUGAAAUCCCCGGGCUUAACCUGGGAAUGGCAUUUGGGACUGCAAGGCUGGAGUGUGGCAGAGGAGACUGGAAUUCCUGGUGUAGCAGUGAAAUGCGUAGAUAUCGUAAGGAAGACCAGUGGCGAAGGCGGGUCUCUGGACAGUUCCUGACGCUGAGGCACGAAGGUCAGGGGAGCAAACGGG